This 497-nucleotide ribosomal RNA is filed under the name uncultured bacterium. RNAcentral's name for it is "partial 16S ribosomal RNA". It matches the Rfam family "Bacterial small subunit ribosomal RNA", at positions 28 to 507 of the family's 1533-position model. The record is from RNAcentral.
GAUGAACGCUGGCGGCGUACCUAAUACAUGCAAGUCGAGCGAACGGACGAGAAGCUUGCUUCUCUGAUGUUAGCGGCGGACGGGUGAGUAACACGUGGAUAACCUACCUAUAAGACUGGGAUAACUUCGGGAAACCGGAGCUAAUACCGGAUAAUAUUUUGAACCGCAUGGUUCAAAAGUGAAAGACGGUCUUGCUGUCACUUAUAGAUGGAUCCGCGCUGCAUUAGCUAGUUGGUAAGGUAACGGCUUACCAAGGCAACGAUGCAUAGCCGACCUGAGAGGGUGCUCGGCCACACUGGAACUGAGACACGGUCCAGACUCCUACGGGAGGCAGCAGUAGGGAAUCUUCCGCAAUGGGCGAAAGCCUGACGGAGCAACGCCGCGUGAGUGAUGAAGGUCUUCGGAUCGUAAAACUCUGUUAUUAGGGAAGAACAUAUGUGUAAGUAACUGUGCACAUCUUGACGUUACCUAAUCAGAAAGCCACGGCUAACUCCGUG